This is a long non-coding RNA of Gossypium arboreum, 1198 nucleotides long. RefSeq lists it as uncharacterized. The transcript is spliced from 2 exons. The record is from RefSeq and is a predicted model, not a curated record. Lineage: Eukaryota; Viridiplantae; Streptophyta; Magnoliopsida; Malvales; Malvaceae.
AAGAAAAAGAAAAGUGGCUGAUGGGACUUGAGAGGCUAGGGAACCGUGCCCCUCCAACUUAGAUGGUCUGCAUUAGACCUUCGGACACAGGCCAUGGCAAAAAAUAAUAUGGCAUCAUGGUAUAGGGGUGCAUCUUAAAUUCUUCAAACCCUUUCUUCUUCUAUUGUCUCAUGAGAUAUUUUUGCAUGGAGACUCUCUACCAAUUGGUUCCAACCACAACCUAGUUCGGCAAUUUGACCCAUUCCUGAUUGUUCUCCACCGCCACCAUAGCAAAUCUCGGCACACUCUGUAACAGAUAAGUCUUUUUCACUCUUUACUCCUCUUCUUCCUUCUCCAUUUGCUCUAGCUGUUGCCUUCACUCCACUAUGCAAUAAAUUAUUAUCGACGUCCCUGAGGCCAAUUGAUAUCACCGGAGUGUAGAUCUCUUUCUCAUCAAUCUAUUUUGCUUCUGUUGGUUUGUAUUUUAUGUAAAUUUUAAUUUGAAUGCAGUAAUGGAUACUACAAAGAUUGGAGUUCAAAAGCUUGAUUUUGCUAGUGCAAUACUGUAAGUGUUACUUUAUUUUUUUUGUUUGUUAAUUUCCAAAAAUUAAGAAUUAAUUACUUUAAAUGUUACCUUUUAAAGUGUACGUAGGAGGGAAGGCGUGGCACUCGGGAAGUUUAAAAAAUCUAGGAUUUUGGGUAGUGACGGGCAGGGAAAAGCCCGGCUACCUGUUUUUCUCAGGCUGUCUUUCAACAUCCCUUAAUGAAUCUUAAGUACUCAUAAAAUAUAGGCUAUUUUAUCCAAAUAACAUAAAAAUAUAAUAAUUAAUUAUGUUAAUAACAUAAUUAAAAAUAAUCACUCAAAUGAUUUAAAAUAAACAUUAAAGUGGGGUUAAGGGUAAUAAAUGGUAGGCAUUAGAUAAAUUUUUGACACAAUCAUCAAGUGGUUAAAAAAAUAUUUUUUUAGUGUUAGGAGUAGAUGGUCGAAUUUUUUUUAUUUUUUUCCAACUCAUAUCAUAUUGAUAUACGCUUUUAUCAAUAUUUAGAAAAAAAAAUUUGGGUGUUGAAACUUGAAACACUAAUAAUUGACACCCUCUAUAAAAUUUUAAAAAACUUUUUAGCUACCUUUGUACUUGAUUUAUUUAUUUUUUUGGUGUUGGGUCAGUACCCCAAUAUUAGAAUUUAAAAAAAAAAUAGGGAUAUUGAGAUAGUGAUGACC